UCUUUUUUGAGACAGAGUCUUGCUCUGCUGCCCAGGCUGGAGUGCAGGGGCGUGAUCUCAGCUCACUGCAAGCUCUGCCUCCUGGGUUUGCACCAUUCUCCUGCGUCAGCCUCCUGAGUAGCUGGGAAUACAGGCGCCCACCACCACGCCCAGCUAAUUUUUGUAUUUUUAGUAGAGAUGGGGCUUCUAGUUUCCAUGAAAGAGCUUUUAUUUAUAUAAGAUGGAAUUCAUGCUUAUAUAAACAUGAAUGACAUCUAAAACAAGCAAUAAAUAUCUAAAAUGUAAGAAAGUAUUAUAAAACAAAUAAAGAGUGAAAGAAAUAAACAGGCACAGUGUGGUGGCUCAUGCCUAUAAUCCCAGCACUUGGGAGGCCAAAGCAGGUGGAUGGCUUGAGCUCACAAGUUCGAGACCAGUCCGGGCAACAUGGAGAAACCCUGUCUCUAC
This is a long non-coding RNA of Homo sapiens (human), 444 nucleotides long. Lineage: Eukaryota; Metazoa; Chordata; Mammalia; Primates; Hominidae. The record is from Ensembl.